GACGAACGCUGGCGGCGUGCUUAACACAUGCAAGUCGAACGGAAAGGCCCUGCUUGCCGGGUACUCGAGUGGCGAACGGGUGAGUAACACGUGGGUGAUCUGCCCUGCACUUCGGGAUAAGCCUGGGAAACUGGGUCUAAUACCGGAUAUGACCUUCCAUGUAGUGUGGGGGGUGGAAAGAUUUAUCGGUGUGGGAUGAGCCCGGGGCCUAUCAGCUUGUUGGUGGGGGAGUGGCCUACCAAGGCGUCGACGGGUAGCCGGCCUGAGAGGGUGGCCGGCCCCAUGGGGCCUGAGAAGCGGCCGGACCCCCUCCGGGAGGCAGGGGUGGGGAAUAUGCCCCAAUGGGCGGAGGCCGGUGCGAGCGACCCCGGUGGGGGGUAGGCGGCCCUCGGGUUGUAAACCUCUUUCGACAGGGACGAAGCUUCGGUGACGUUACCUAUAUAAAAAGCCCCGGCUACCUACGU
Molecule: ribosomal RNA, 464 nt
Filed under: uncultured bacterium
Lineage: Bacteria
Description: partial 16S ribosomal RNA
Rfam family: Bacterial small subunit ribosomal RNA
Source: RNAcentral